RNAcentral lists this ribosomal RNA (481 nucleotides) under uncultured bacterium. Its description in RNAcentral is "partial 16S ribosomal RNA". It matches the Rfam family "Bacterial small subunit ribosomal RNA", at positions 28 to 507 of the family's 1533-position model. The record is from RNAcentral.
GAUGAACGCUGGCGGCGUGCUUAACACAUGCAAGUCGAACGAAGCAUUUAGGACAGAUUACUUCGGUUUGAAGUUCUUUAUGACUGAGUGGCGGACGGGUGAGUAACGCGUGGGUAACCUGCCUUGUACUGGGGGAUAGCAGCUGGAAACGGCUGGUAAUACCGCAUAAGCGCACAAUGUUGCAUGACAUGGUGUGAAAAACUCCGGUGGUAUAAGAUGGACCCGCGUCUGAUUAGCUAGUUGGUGAGAUAACAGCCCACCAAGGCGACGAUCAGUAGCCGACCUGAGAGGGUGACCGGCCACAUUGGGACUGAGACACGGCCCAGACUCCUACGGGAGGGAGCAGUGGGGAAUAUUGCACAAUGGAGGAAACUCUGAUGCAGCGACGCCGCGUGAGUGAAGAAGUAAUUCGUUAUGUAAAGCUCUAUCAGCAGGGAAGAUAGUGACGGUACCUGACUAAGAAGCUCCGGCUAAAUACGUG